This 266-nucleotide long non-coding RNA is filed under the name Elaeis guineensis (African oil palm). RNAcentral's name for it is "long non-coding RNA (EGUI_LNC051227)". The record is from RNAcentral. Lineage: Eukaryota; Viridiplantae; Streptophyta; Magnoliopsida; Arecales; Arecaceae.
GGCACCGUGAUUGAGCCCAAAUCUUCUGGUGGAGCAAAUCAAAAUUAAUUAAUCAGUUGGUGUCUAAAGUAAGUUUGGUAGAUUCGAUCAAGUAGUUUUUAAUUGGAAGCUACUCACCUAGAUGCAUCUACGAUGAGUUAAUGGUACAUCCUUCCUACUGAUCUCACUUACCUAGCUAACAUGAUAGAUUAUGUUUAAAUUAAAUCACUUGUUGAUUCAUGCUGACCCAUGCCAUCAAGGUUAAUCAGUGUGAUUGAUUUAGGUGU